RNAcentral lists this long non-coding RNA (632 nucleotides) under Nicotiana tabacum (common tobacco). Its description in RNAcentral is "long non-coding RNA (NTAB_LNC014161)". Lineage: Eukaryota; Viridiplantae; Streptophyta; Magnoliopsida; Solanales; Solanaceae. The record is from RNAcentral.
GACAACAACGUUAUCUGCUGAAGUUGACAAAGACGUUUCUCCUUGUGUUUGCACUUGUUUUUCCUUUCUGAACCUAAAGACAUAAACAAACGCGGAAACUGCAAGCAAAACAAUACCGGUUGCUCCACACACCAAGCUGGAAAUCAAUAAUGCUCCCCUCACGUUAUCUUUACUGCUGUGGUGAACUGGCAUUCCUCCUCUGUCGCCGCCAAUCCACGUCAAGUUCUUUGCAAUCGGCAGCGCCACCGGCGGCUGAGCAUUCCGUCGGCCACCGCCGCCAAAGAAUGAGAGCAUCUCCGGAACGUCGUCGUUUGUUGUUGGUGUGGAUGAAAAGUCUUGAUUUGUCAACCCGUGCUCCGCUGGACGGAGCUCUCUACCGUUGGAUUGCAAAGACAUUAUGGACAAUAAUAUCAUAAAUGUGAUGAUAACAACGUUUUGGAAAUAUUGCCUCAUUGUAAUUUUCCAGGUGUGGUGUUAUUUAAGGUUUGUGUCUCUCUCUUGAUUGUAGAAUGAAAAAAAGUGGUAAUACUGAUAUAUGAAAUUUUUUGUUGUGUGCUAUAAAUGAAGUGGGAGGUCAUGUGGUAGUUAGCCAGUUUGUCAAAUUCCAUAAUCCAUACAAAGGACGCGUGAUU